RNAcentral lists this ribosomal RNA (253 nucleotides) under uncultured bacterium. RNAcentral's name for it is "partial 16S ribosomal RNA". It matches the Rfam family "Bacterial small subunit ribosomal RNA", at positions 524 to 776 of the family's 1533-position model. The record is from RNAcentral.
UACAGAGGGUGCAAGCGUUAAUCGGAAUUACUGGGCGUAAAGCGCGCGUAGGUGGUUUGUUAAGUUGGAUGUGAAAUCCCCGGGCUCAACCUGGGAACUGCAUUCAAAACUGACAAGCUAGAGUAUGGUAGAGGGUGGUGGAAUUUCCUGUGUAGCGGUGAAAUGCGUAGAUAUAGGAAGGAACACCAGUGGCGAAGGCGACCACCUGGACCAAUACUGACGCUCAUGUGCGAAAGCGUGGGGAGCAAACAGG